GGUAUAAGGAGAAUACAUAUAUUUUGUUCUACUCACACUUGGGAACUCUAAAUUAGUACCAGAUAUUUGCACACAGAAAAAAAUCUGAAAUUCUACAAGCAUUCUAGACUAGUGAGUCACCUAAUUAGUUGUGGAAUUAGGGGGAUCCAUUCCCAUUGCCUUGUAAUAAGCCAUUUCCGCAGUAGCCAUGCGAUCCUGAAACAUUGUCCAUUCUCUUCGACACCUUUCUCUUACCCCUUCCCAUGGUGCCUUGCCAUUCUCCGAUUUACCCUGGCUUCCAAGAGAUGGAACAGUUUGAUGUACAAUCCACUGUGCAUCUACAACUCCUAUCUUUUCAUGAGCGGGCUCCACACAUCUCCUAAGCGCAAAAUCAAGACCCCAUCCAUGGACCAAG
RNAcentral lists this unclassified non-coding RNA (394 nucleotides) under Hevea brasiliensis (rubber tree). Lineage: Eukaryota; Viridiplantae; Streptophyta; Magnoliopsida; Malpighiales; Euphorbiaceae. The record is from RNAcentral.